CCUUCGAUAGCUCAGUUGGAAGAGCGUGGGACUGUAAUCUGCUAAUCAACCGGAGUAAAAACAUUUACUCCGUUAGGUCAUCCCAAGGUCACUGGAUCGACGCCGGUUCGAAGGA
Molecule: transfer RNA, 115 nt
Filed under: Agrocybe pediades
Lineage: Eukaryota; Fungi; Basidiomycota; Agaricomycetes; Agaricales; Agrocybaceae
Description: tRNA-Tyr
Rfam family: tRNA
About the family: Transfer RNA (tRNA) molecules are approximately 80 nucleotides in length. Their secondary structure includes four short double-helical elements and three loops (D, anti-codon, and T loops).
Source: RNAcentral